This 470-nucleotide ribosomal RNA is filed under the name uncultured bacterium. RNAcentral describes it as "bacterial SSU rRNA". It matches the Rfam family "Bacterial small subunit ribosomal RNA", at positions 923 to 1391 of the family's 1533-position model. The record is from RNAcentral.
GCACAAGCGGUGGAUGAUGUGGAUUAAUUCGAUGCAACGCGAAAAACCUUACCUACCCUUGACAUGUCAGGAAGUCUGCUGAGAGGUGGAUGUGCCCGAAAGGGGAACCUGAACACAGGUGCUGCAUGGCUGUCGUCAGCUCGUGUCGUGAGAUGUUGGGUUAAGUCCCGCAACGAGCGCAACCCUUGUCAUUAAUUGCCAUCAUUCAGUUGGGCACUUUAAUGAGACUGCCGGUGACAAACCGGAGGAAGGUGGGGAUGACGUCAAGUCCUCAUGGCCCUUAUGGGUAGGGCUUCACACGUCAUACAAUGGUCGGUACAGAGUGUCGCCAACCCGCGAGGGGGAGCCAAUCCCACAAAGCCGAUCGUAGUCCGGAUCGCAGUCUGCAACUCGACUGCGUGAAGUCGGAAUCGCUAGUAAUCGUGGAUCAGCAUGUCACGGUGAAUACGUUCCCGGGUCUUGUACACACC